AGAGUUUGAUCCUGGCUCAGAGCGAACGCUGGCGGCAUGCUUAACACAUGCAAGUCGCACGCCCUGCAAGGGGAGUGGCGGACGGGUGAGUAACGCGUAGGAAUGUAUCCUGAGGUGGGGGACAACCCUGGGAAACUGGGGCUAAUACCGCAUGGGGCCUGAGGGCCAAAGCAGCAAUGCGCCUUGGGAGCAGCCUGCGUCCGAUUAGGUAGUUGGUGGGGUAAAGGCCUACCAAGCCUGCGAUCGGUAGCUGGUCUGAGAGGACGAUCAGCCAGACUGGGACUGAGACACGGCCCAGACACCUACGGGUGGCAGCAGCAAGGAAUCUUCGGCACUGGGCGCAAGCCUGACCGAGCAACGCCGCGUGGAGGACGACGGCCUUCGGGUUGUAAACUCCUUUCGGGGGGGACGAAACGGACGGUACCCUCAGAAGCAGCCCCGGCUAACUCUGUGCCAGCAGCCGCGGUAAUACAGAGGGGGCAAGCGUUGUCCGGAUUUACUGGGCGUACAGCGCGCGCAGGCGGUCGUCGACGUGCCGUGUGACAUUCCACUGCUUAACAGUGGCGGGCCACGGUAGACGCGGGGACUGGAGGCAGGGAGAGGGAUGUGGAAUACCCGGUGGAGCGGUGAAAUGCGUAGAGAUCGGGUGGAACACCAGCGGCGAAGGCGGCAUCCUGGUCCUGUACUGACGCUGAGGCGCGAGAGCGUGGGGAGCGAACCGGAUUAGAUACCCCGGUAGUCC
This 742-nucleotide ribosomal RNA is filed under the name uncultured Chloroflexota bacterium. RNAcentral describes it as "bacterial SSU rRNA". It matches the Rfam family "Bacterial small subunit ribosomal RNA", at positions 8 to 796 of the family's 1533-position model. The record is from RNAcentral. Lineage: Bacteria; Bacillati; Chloroflexota.